This 550-nucleotide ribosomal RNA is filed under the name uncultured Funneliformis. Its description in RNAcentral is "SSU rRNA". It matches the Rfam family "Eukaryotic small subunit ribosomal RNA", at positions 548 to 1098 of the family's 1831-position model. Lineage: Eukaryota; Fungi; Glomeromycota; Glomeromycetes; Glomerales; Glomeraceae. The record is from RNAcentral.
UUGGAGGGCAAGUCUGGUGCCAGCAGCCGCGGUAAUUCCAGCUCCAAUAGCGUAUAUUAAAGUUGUUGCAGUUAAAAAGCUCGUAGUUGAAUUUCGGGAUCAAUGUUUCGGUCGUGCCGUUGGUAUGUACUGAUAUUAUUGGUUUCUCACCUUCUAAAGAACCGUAAUGCCAUUAAUUUGGUGUCACGGGGAAUUAGGACUGUUACCUUGAAAAAAUUAGAGUGUUUAAAGCAGGCUCACGCUUGAAUACAUUAGCAUGGAAUAAUGAAAUAGGACAUCCGAUUCUAUUUUGUUGGUUUCUAGGAUCGAUGUAAUGAUUAAUAGGGAUAGUUGGGGGCAUUAGUAUUCAAUUGUCAGAGGUGAAAUUCUUGGAUUUAUUGAAGACUAACUACUGCGAAAGCAUUUGCCAAGGAUGUUUUCAUUAAUCAAGAACGAAAGUUAGGGGAUCGAAGACGAUCAGAUACCGUCGUAGUCUUAACCAUAAACUAUGCCGACUAGGGAUCGGAUGAUGUUAAUUUUUUAAUGACUCAUUCGGCGCCUUACGGGAAAC